AUGACGCUGACUUAUGGUACAUGGUUACAAAUGGUUAUGAACCAUCUGUAUCUACUCCUGGAGUUGUCAUUGCUUGAAAUAAAAUGAGUGAUUAUCAGAAGCGUGACUUCAAAAACCAUCAUAAAGCCAGAACGAUUAUGUUGAACGCCAUAUCCUACAAUGAAUAUGAAAAGAUCACCAACAGGGAAACAACUAAAGAAAUAUUUGAAUCCCUAAAGAUGACUCACGAAGCAACA
This 236-nucleotide long non-coding RNA is filed under the name Lathyrus oleraceus (garden pea). Its description in RNAcentral is "Pisum sativum (pea) long non-coding RNA (PSAT_LNC005010)". Lineage: Eukaryota; Viridiplantae; Streptophyta; Magnoliopsida; Fabales; Fabaceae. The record is from RNAcentral.